This 331-nucleotide ribosomal RNA is filed under the name uncultured bacterium. RNAcentral's name for it is "bacterial SSU rRNA". It matches the Rfam family "Bacterial small subunit ribosomal RNA", at positions 8 to 334 of the family's 1533-position model. The record is from RNAcentral.
AGGGUUUGAUUAUGGCUCAGGACGAACGCUGGCGGCGCGCCUAACACAUGCAAGUCGAACGAGCGAUGGAGAGCUUGCUUUCCAGAGCGAGUGGCGAACGGGUGAGUAACGCGUGAGGAACCUGCCUCAAAGAGGGGGACAACAGUUGGAAACGACUGCUAAUACCGCAUAAGCCCACGGCUCGGCAUCGAGCAGAGGGAAAAGGAGUGAUCCGCUUUGAGAUGGCCUCGCGUCCGAUUAGCUAGUUGGUGAGGUAACGGCCCACCAAGGCGACGAUCGGUAGCCGGACUGAGAGGUUGAACGGCCACAUUGGGACUGAGACACGGCCCAG